GGAAAUAUGCCUGAAACUAAGGAUUACUUUGAUAGAGUACACAUAGGGGUUAAAAUCUCCUUAUUUCCU
Molecule: transfer RNA, 69 nt
Filed under: Shinisaurus crocodilurus (Chinese crocodile lizard)
Lineage: Eukaryota; Metazoa; Chordata; Lepidosauria; Squamata; Shinisauridae
Description: tRNA-Ile
Rfam family: tRNA
About the family: Transfer RNA (tRNA) molecules are approximately 80 nucleotides in length. Their secondary structure includes four short double-helical elements and three loops (D, anti-codon, and T loops).
Source: RNAcentral